CCUACGGGAGGCAGCAGUGGGGAAUCUUGCGCAAUGGGCGAAAGCCUGACGCAGCAACGCCGCGUGCGGGAAGAAGGCUUUCGGGCUGUAAACCGCUUUCAGCAGGAACGAAAAUGACGGUACCUGCAGAAGAAGGAGCGGCCAACUAUGUGCCAGCAGCCGCGGUGAUACAUAGGCUUCAAGCGUUGUCCGGAUUUAUUGGGCGUAAAGAGUUCGUAGGCGGUCAAGUAAGUCGGGUGUGAAAAUUCUGGGCUCAACCCAGAGACGCCACCCGAUACUGCUUAACUUGAGUUCGAUAGGGGAGUGGGGAAUUCCUAGUGUAGCGGUGAAAUGCGCAGAUAUUAGGAGGAACACCGGUGGCGAAGGCGCCACUCUGGAUCGAUACUGACGCUGAGGAACGAAAGCAUGGGUAGCAAACAGGAUUAGAUACCCUGGUAGUCCAUGCCGUAAACGGUGGGCACUAGGUGUGGGUUUCUAUUAACGAAAUCCGCGCCGUCGCUAACGCAUUAAGUGCCCCGCCUGGGGAUACGGUCGCAAGACUAAAACUCAAAGUNUAAUUGACGUCGAGAGACGACGACGACGACGACGACGAGGAGAG
RNAcentral lists this ribosomal RNA (598 nucleotides) under uncultured bacterium. RNAcentral's name for it is "bacterial SSU rRNA". It matches the Rfam family "Bacterial small subunit ribosomal RNA", at positions 338 to 960 of the family's 1533-position model. The record is from RNAcentral.